CCAGCAGCUGCGGUAAUACGAAGGGUGCAAGCGUUACUCGGAAUUACUGGGCGUAAAGCGUGCGUAGGUGGUUUGUUAAGUCAGAUGUGAAAGCCCCGGGCUCAACCUGGGAAUUGCAUUUGAUACUGGCGAACUAGAGUGAGGUAGAGGAGAGUGGAAUUCCCGGUGUAGCAGUGAAAUGCGUAGAGAUCGGGAGGAACAUCAGUUGCGAAGGCGGCUCUCUGGACCAUCACUGACACUGAGGCACGAAAGCGUGGGGAGCAAACAGGAUUAGAUACCCUGGUAGUCCACGCCCUAAACGAUGCGAACUGGACGUUGGGAUCAAUUGAGAUUUCAGUGUCGAAGCUAACGCGUUAAGUUCGCCGCCUGGGGAGUACGGUCGCAAGACUGAAACUCAAAGGAAUUGACGGGGGCCCGCACAAGCGGUGGAGUAUGUGGUUUAAUUCGAUGCAACGCGAAGAACCUUACCUGGUCUUGACAUGUACGGAAUCCUUUAGAGAUAGAGGAGUGCCUUCGGGAACCGUAACACA
This 530-nucleotide ribosomal RNA is filed under the name uncultured Lysobacteraceae bacterium. Its description in RNAcentral is "bacterial SSU rRNA". It matches the Rfam family "Bacterial small subunit ribosomal RNA", at positions 508 to 1036 of the family's 1533-position model. The record is from RNAcentral. Lineage: Bacteria; Pseudomonadati; Pseudomonadota; Gammaproteobacteria; Lysobacterales; Lysobacteraceae.